CAAUAGCGUAUAUUAAAGUUGUUGCAGUUAAAAAGCUCGUAGUUGGAUUUGUGGCGUACGGUGUGUUCCGGGCACUUGUUGUCUGAGUAACCUGCUGUUGCCAUCCUUGGGUGGAACCUGUGUGGCAUUAGGUUGUCGUGCAGGGGAUGCCCAUCAUUUACUGUGAAAAAAUUAGAGUGUUCAAAGCAGGCUUAUGCCGUUGAAUAUAUUAGCAUGGAAUAAUGAGAUAGGACUUUUUUGCUAUUUUGUUGGUUUGCGCAAGAAGGUAAUGAUUAAUAGGGACAGUUGGGGGUAUUCGUAUUCCAUUGUCAGAGGUGAAAUUCUUGGAUUUUUGGAAGACGAACUACUGCGAAAGCAUUUACCAAGGAUGUUUUCAUUA
Molecule: ribosomal RNA, 379 nt
Filed under: uncultured eukaryote
Lineage: Eukaryota
Description: partial 18S ribosomal RNA
Rfam family: Eukaryotic small subunit ribosomal RNA
Source: RNAcentral